AUGUAAAAUGAUUUAAAUCGUGUUUCAAAACGUAAAUAAAUCUUUUUAGCAAUAUUUCUUGAUACAAAUCGUCUUUCGAAAUUAGGUUAUGAAACAGUUUUCACAAGUUUUCGUAUUUUUGCGAUCAUAAUAUAGAAUUUCUCCAUAGAAAGUUCCAGAAGUGUGCAUUAAACGUUCAUUUACAGACUUUCUCUUUAGCUGGUACUCUGUGUUCUUGUGCCACAUUUAAAAGCAGCAUUUAGAUCAGCUUUUUUGGUUCUUUUGUAUUGCAUGGGAGCAAUGGACAAGCCACAAGCAAAAUUUACAAAAGAGUUGCAGUUGCAGAUCACCUUGGCAAUAUCAAGGUGACACAGUUGUCUUCUCCCAGCAGCGAGAGGCAAUGUUGUGAUCAUUCCUCUGAACCACCUCCUCUCGGGGAAAGUGUUAUUGACACACAAUGCAUACCCAGACUGUAUCAGUCCAAGAGAAAAUAUAAUGAACACAAAUGAGUGCUGAGCUACAGUUUCAGACAAAUGGCUCAAUUUUCCAGGUUUUCUGUUCAGUGAACAAAUUACCACAUGGAGACAGAAGUUGUUGCAGAAGUGGCCUUGGUGUUCAAGUAAGACAGAAAGGCAAAUUUCUGACAUUUUUUUUUUAAUAAUGAUGCUAUUACAUCAUCCUCAGGAUAAGAUGUAGCUAGUGCACACAUUCUCAAAGUCUGUUAAUGUUUAUAGUGCUUCUGAUGAAGUUGAGCUUCUGGGAUUGUCACUGACUUGGUUUACUGCCUCCUCACUGCUGGUAUCCUCUGAACUUUGUAAUACAGGUCUGGCAGAUUCAGACCAACUGCUGCUCGAGCCAAACCCAAAGGUCCCAUUGAGACAAAUUAAAGGGCUGUUCUUGUAACUGUCUUUCAACUUAUGAAAGUCCCAGCCAGGGUAAUAAAUGAAAAUUGCGCAGAAAUGUUUGCAUGGAUAUUUCCACCUUUGGAAGUCUUCACAUGUGCAAUUAGGCUUUGCAAAAUUCACCACAUAGUAACAAUCCUUGGCCUCUGCACUUUCUACACAAAACAAUGCCUCACCCAUUUCUCUCACUGAGCUUUCGGUAAGUCCCGUUUGUGCUGAAGAAUACCUUUUCAUUACGUGAUUGACAAAUUCGUGUGACUUGUUAUGCAAGAAGUGAGGAAUCGCUCUGCUGUAAGAUUUCACAGCUGAAUUCUUCAGACAAUAUUUUUUAAACAGGCUAGGCAGGAAAUCAUUUAUUAAAACUUUAACAACACUUGUCAAUGUUUUAUCUGCUGAGUGUCGAAGAAAAAAAUGUUUCACUCUUAUUUAGUGAUUCAACAGCAUUAGUAGUAGUUAUAUUGGCGAAGAAAUUCUCCUUGUCCUCAUAGGCCUUCACCCACCUUUCAGAUACUGAAAGCCAUUGCUUAUUAAAAUAAUCAAGUGCACCAGAAUUUCUAGUAAAUAAUUCAUGAGAUUGAAGGUUUUGUUUUGCAGUUAAAAAUUUUUCUUCAGAUGGUGACUCUGCAAUUUCUUCCCACAGCUUCAGAAUUUGCUCACUAUCUCCCGGUAUAUCUAAAUUGUUCUUUUUGCUAAGCCACCGUUGCCAGGCUUGCUUUUGAUGAAAUAAACAAAGAUAAACUCUUGACAUUGGAAAUGUUCCUUUAAUUGCCCGUAUCUCAGGCUCAGAGAAAUAUGUAACCCAUGAAACUUGAUUCCAAUCUGGGUUCCGUGCCUUGAAAAUUUCUAGAGCCUCUUUAAUUGAUGCAGUGUUUUCUACUUGAAUGAAGAAUAUCCCAACUACUAAAGAGCAUACAGUAGCUUUCACUACCAAGAAAAAUAAUGGAAUGUCAUACUUCGUUGUCUUGUAUGUUGCAUCAAGCAAACAUACCCUACCAUACUUUUAAAAAAGUUCCCUUUGCCACUUGUGCUGGUAACAAAAAAGCAAUGGCUGGACUUUUCCAUUGUCGUCUGUAAACGGUCUGAAAAAAAUCUCUCAGCCUUCGAUUCCUUUUGCCACCCAUUAAUUCGAUUCCUUAAUGCAUCUUGGUCAAUAACAGUUUUCUUCAAAUCAAACAGAGCCCGAUACAUAUGGCUAUAAAUUGUACUAUCUGUUGGGUAAAACAUUAUGUUCAUCCGAUCUGGCCUGUUCCAGCAACACUAAAGUGCACAAUCCCCGAAAGUGUUAACGAACAAACUUUAGUUAUGUUUUAUUUGCAGCAAGUGUGUUUCUGUAUUGCAUCCUGGUCACUCACUGAUUUCCUUACAAGAAAUAAGCUCUGAGCACAUGGGUGUAAGUUGUUUAAUCUGUGUGGUAAAACAAUAUUUGAGAAAAGGUUUUUCAUUUAUAAAACAGUAGCAACUCAAAAAACUUAUGUACAUUGCUCAUAAUUUGUUGUGUAGUCAGAAUACACUUGUUGGAAUGAAUAAAUUCAAUUAUGUAAUUAUCAUUUCCUUUGGCAAUGAAUCAUAUGAGCUAAACAUGACAUUGGAGGGAAUAGCAGUUUUCAAAUCAUAAUUUUCAGUGCAUACUCUUAUGUGUGCAUUGUUCCUUUAAGCUUACACACAAUCUGUUGUUCAAAAUGACUAGUUGUUAGUGUUUUUGAAAAAUGUUUAUAUUACUGUACAUGUCAAUGUAUUUUAUGUUUUGCAUUUAUGUAAGCACGCAUGAACUACGUAUGUGAAUUGGACAUAUGAAGAAAUGUCAUUGUGUAAUUAUCCUUUUUGAGUGAAAACUAAACUCCAUGUAUUUCCUAUUACAGAUAAUAAAACAAUGUCAUAUUAAUAA
Long non-coding RNA from Schistocerca gregaria, 2766 nucleotides. RefSeq lists it as uncharacterized. Lineage: Eukaryota; Metazoa; Arthropoda; Insecta; Orthoptera; Acrididae. The record is from RefSeq and is a predicted model, not a curated record. The transcript is spliced from 5 exons.